AACCCAGUGCAAUUCGUUGCACUAUCGUUAACUGAAUACAUAGGUUAACGAGGCGAACCGGGGGAACUGAAACAUCUAAGUACCCCGAGGAAAAGAAAUCAACCGAGAUUCCCCCAGUAGCGGCGAGCGAACGGGGAGCAGCCCAGAGUCUGAAUCAGCUUGUGUGUUAGUGGAACGGUCUGGAAAGUCCGACGGUACAGGGUGAUAGUCCCGUACACCAAAAUGCACAGGUUGUGAACUCGAAGAGUAGGGCGGGACACGUGGUAUCCUGUCUGAAUAUGGGGGGACCAUCCUCCAAGGCUAAAUACUCCUGACUGACCGAUAGUGAACCAGUACCGUGAGGGAAAGGCGAAAAGAACCCCGGCGAGGGGAGUGAAAAAGAACCUGAAACCGUGUACGUACAAGCAGUGGGAGCACCUUCGGGUGUGACUGCGUACCUUUUGUAUAAUGGGUCAGCGACUUAUAUUCUGUAGCAAGGUUAACCGUAUAGGGGAGCCGCAGGGAAACCGAGUCUUAACUGGGCGUUAAGUUGCAGGGUAUAGACCCGAAACCCGGUGAUCUAGCCAUGGGCAGGUUGAAGGUUGGGUAACACUAACUGGAGGACCGAACCGACUAAUGUUGAAAAAUUAGCGGAUGACUUGUGGCUGGGGGUGAAAGGCCAAUCAAACCGGGAGAUAGCUGGUUCUCCCCGAAAGCUAUUUAGGUAGCGCCUCGUGAACUCAUCUUCGGGGGUAGAGCACUGUUUCGGCUAGGGGGUCAUCCCGACUUACCAACCCGAUGCAAACUACGAAUACCGAAGAAUGUUAUCACGGGAGACACACGGCGGGUGCUAACGUCCGUCGUGAAGAGGGAAACAACCCAGACCGCCAGCUAAGGUCCCAAAGUCAUGGUUAAGUGGGAAACGAUGUGGGAAGGCACAGACAGCCAGGAUGUUGGCUUAGAAGCAGCCAUCAUUUAAAGAAAGCGUAAUAGCUCACUGGUCGAGUCGGCCUGCGCGGAAGAUGUAACGGGGCUAAACCAUGCACCGAAGCUGCGGCAGCGACACUAUGUGUUGUUGGGUAGGGGAGCG
RNAcentral lists this ribosomal RNA (1069 nucleotides) under Klebsiella pneumoniae. Its description in RNAcentral is "partial 23S ribosomal RNA". It matches the Rfam family "Bacterial large subunit ribosomal RNA", at positions 125 to 1238 of the family's 2925-position model. RNAcentral also lists the same sequence under 2 other names. Lineage: Bacteria; Pseudomonadati; Pseudomonadota; Gammaproteobacteria; Enterobacterales; Enterobacteriaceae. The record is from RNAcentral.